AUCGGAAUUACUGGGCGUAAAGCGUGCGCAGGCGGUUCUAUAAGACAGAUGUGAAAUCCCCGGGCUUAACCUGGGAACUGCGUUUGUGACUGUAGGACUUGAGUGUAGCAGAGGGGGGUGGAAUUCCACGUGUAGCAGUGAAAUGCGUAGAGAUGUGGAGGAACACCGAUGGCGAAGGCAGCCCCCUGGGUCGACACUGACGCUCAUGCACGAAAGCGUGGGUAGCAAACAGGAUUAGAUACCCUGGUAGUCCACGCCCUAAACGAUGCCAACUAGGUGUUGGAGAAGGAGACUUCUUUAGUACCGUAGCUAACGCGUGAAGUUGGCCGCCUGGGGAGUACGGUCGCAAGAUUAAAACUCAAAGGAAUUGACGGGGACCCGCACAAGCGGUGGAUGAUGUGGAUUAAUUCGAUGCAACGCGAAAAACCUUACCUACCCUUGACAUGCCAGGAACCCUGCAGAGAUGUGGGGGUGCUCGAAAGAGAGCCUGGACACAGGUGCUGCAUGGCUGUCGUCAGCUCGUGUCGUGAGAUGUUGGGUUAAGUCCCGCAACGAGCGCAACCCUUGUCAUUAGUUGCCAUCAUUCAGUUGGGCACUCUAAUGAGACUGCCGGUGACAAACCCGGAGGAACGGUGGGGAUGACGUCAAGUCCUCAUGGCCCUUAUGGGUAGGGCUUCACACGUCAUACAAUGGUCGGUACAGAGGGUUGCCAAGCCGCGAGGUGGAGCCAAUCCCAGAAAGCCGAUCGUAGUCCGGAUCGGAGUCUGCAACUCGACUCCGUGAAGUC
Molecule: ribosomal RNA, 787 nt
Filed under: uncultured Denitratisoma sp.
Lineage: Bacteria; Pseudomonadati; Pseudomonadota; Betaproteobacteria; Nitrosomonadales; Sterolibacteriaceae
Description: bacterial SSU rRNA
Rfam family: Bacterial small subunit ribosomal RNA
Source: RNAcentral